GUUGGAACAUAGAUAGAUGCAUGAUACAUAUAUAGAUAUAGAUGGAUGAUAGAUAGUUUAUAGACCUUAUUCAUAAAUCGUGAUGCUAUUGUGUCGACUUUAACGUUAACGGCUUGUCUGUUGUUCCUUAUUUCAAUUUAUAACGAUUUUUUAGUGUAUUUUAAGGCUUUGUGCCCAUAACGAAAGCUGUAAACGAGCAUAAAAACGACCGGUUUUUCUCCCGUUUUUUGUGUGGAAAAUAUGACGUAGCGAUGGUGUUUAUCCAGAAGCGAAAAACAGUAUUUUACUGAGAUUUUAACGUUAAUAUCAGUGGCGGCGCUAGGGUGGUGGUGGUGGGGGGGGGGGGGGAAAUGCCCCAAAUUAUCUAUUCCCCCCCCCCCCAUUUUGCCCCCCCCCCCCUCAAAAAAAUUAUUAGUCACUAAAAGCGACUAAAGGCUACACAAGUGUUUUGUCGUUAUCGGAAAAUGUAUGGCUUGUAAGUUGUCAUUACUCAUUAGUGAAUGCGCGUAUACAUGAAACUGUUUUUUACAGUUUCAAUAUUAGUUUGUAAAUCUCUGAAUGGUAAAACUUGCCAAUACUCCAAUAAUACGUCUCAAAAAAAGACAAAAAAGCUUUAGUUUUGCAGAGUUAAAUUCUGAAACAUGUAAGGCACUAAUAAGAUGAAAGUAUCAUGAAAUUAUUUGAAUAAACCACAUCGCAUAUAUGGGGGGCGAAUAUCCUAGAGAGGGGCGAUAUUCCUAGGGUAUUCGCCCCACCCCCCUGGGAGGCGAUAUUCCUAGGAUAUUCGCCCCUGGAGGCGAUAUUCCUAGGAAUAUCUCCCCUCUUUUGAGGGGGGGGGGCGAAUCUCCUUCGGGGGGGGGGGGGCGAACUUAUUAAAAAUUCUAUCUUGCCCCCCAGAAUAUGAGUUUUCCCCUCAAAUGCCCCCCAAAAUUCGGAGGCCUGGCGCCGCCACUGGUUAAUAUAUAGGUUAUUCCGUAAAAAAUCAAGACAACUAUGGAAUGAAAGUAUAAUUUUUGGAAUUUGAC
Non-coding RNA from Paramuricea clavata, 1025 nucleotides. Lineage: Eukaryota; Metazoa; Cnidaria; Anthozoa; Malacalcyonacea; Plexauridae. The record is from the annotation of a GenBank genome assembly.